AAGACUUUAAGUUAACCAAACUAAAAACCUUCAAAGUUUUAAAUGACAUAAGUCAAGUCUUG
RNAcentral lists this transfer RNA (62 nucleotides) under Aporrectodea trapezoides. RNAcentral's name for it is "tRNA-Trp". The record is from RNAcentral. Lineage: Eukaryota; Metazoa; Annelida; Clitellata; Crassiclitellata; Lumbricidae.